GAUGAAGAACGUAGCGAAAUGCGAUACGUAAUGUGAAUUGCAGAAUUCAGUGAAUCAUCGAGUCUUUGAACGCACAUUGCGCCCCCUGGUAUUCCGGGGGGCAUGCCUGUCCGAGCGUCAUUGCUGCCCUCAAGCCCGGCUUGUGUGUUGGGUCUCGUCCCCCUUACCGGGGGGACGGGCCCGAAAGGCAGCGGCGGCACCGUGUCCGGUCCUCGAGCGUAUGGGGCUUUGUCACCCGCUCUGUAGGCCCGGCCGGCGCUUGCCGAUCAACCAAAACUUUUUUCCAGGUUGACCUCGGAUCAGGUAGGGAUACCCGCUGAACUUAAGCAUAUCAAUAAGCGGAGGA
Molecule: unclassified non-coding RNA, 346 nt
Filed under: soil metagenome
Description: partial contains 5.8S ribosomal RNA, internal transcribed spacer 2, and large subunit ribosomal RNA
Rfam family: 5.8S ribosomal RNA (bases 1-120)
Source: RNAcentral